Molecule: non-coding RNA, 28 nt
Filed under: Mus musculus (house mouse)
Lineage: Eukaryota; Metazoa; Chordata; Mammalia; Rodentia; Muridae
Also listed under: 1 other name
Source: RNAcentral
UGAGAACCAUCGUGACAUCUACAUCAGC